This 1212-nucleotide unclassified non-coding RNA is filed under the name Hevea brasiliensis (rubber tree). The record is from RNAcentral. Lineage: Eukaryota; Viridiplantae; Streptophyta; Magnoliopsida; Malpighiales; Euphorbiaceae.
GAGAGAGAGAGAGAGAGAGCAAUCAUAUAUCCCAAAGCAGGUAGCAAGAAAUUUCAUUAACAGCAAUUAGAAAGAAUUGAUAGCAGGCUGACUAUGAGACUGGCCAAUAAAGAUAGCAACGUAAAAUGGCAGGACUGAUGAGAUGAAGUAUACUCUGUAUACUGCUGAACAACCAGAGAAGCAUAAUAUCCUGCCAAGAUCACACAUAUCUUGUCCUCUCCAGCUGCAUUUCCACGCCAUGAUCACGCAGUUCUUCCUUCUUCAACAGCCGAUAAAUAGUAUAACAAAAUAUUCUCAAGCAAAUGAGAAUGGCUAUGAUCACCAGAGCUGAUAGGACAUAGCCUGUGAUGGAACGGGAGUGUUUGCACCCAACAAGAACUCCUAGGCACACCAUGGUUAAAACGUAUGCUACUUACAAGCUCUCUUGGAUGUGUUCUUGAUGGAUAUCGGAAUACAACGCCACUUUAUUCUUGGGUUCUUUCCUUUCCUUGACUAAAUUCUAUACUGCAGAUGAUGAACACACUCUCUCUAUAUAUGGUUUUCCUGGUGUAUUCUUGUCUUGAUUGAAAUUGUUAGCACGCUUCUAUUUCAAGUUUGGUAUCUUUAUCUCUAAGGUUACUGUAAAGAGCAGAAAAAACAAGAAUCUGCAGAGAACCAACUUCAGAAAAACAAGAAUCUCUCUCUCUUAAGCAAAGCCUAGAAUCCAUCCCAGCUUUUUGCAUAGAUUGAUUUACAUAUUCUCUUCUAGUACAACGUUCAUCUUUGAAAACAUUAAAGUAAUUACCACCUUUUUAUUUCUUCGUUAACAAUUUCACUUUAUUGUUCAAGAAGUUGAAUUUUUUUUCUUUUAUUCCCUUUACACUGCUAUAAUAUAAUUAAUGCCAACGGUUAGGCUUCGACUUUCAACUUUCAUGUUUCUAGUUACAUACUUGAGUUGCUUUUCACUGAUCCAUUUUGGCCGUCUUUUCGGGGGGUCUGAAGCACGGGCGGUUUACGGCCCAAGUCUCAGUUACUCUCAGUCAUGCCUCUUCCUUUGGCUGUACACCCAGAAUUGAUUGAUAGCGACUCAAUUUUCAGAACUCCAUAUUGGGAAUUAGUGAUGCUUCCCCUGGAUGAGACCGUAGAAAAUGAUUCCAAUGAAAAUCUUUCUGACAAUGAAGAUAAGGACCAAGAGUUGAGUUAAGGAUAUGAUGUUGCAGUUGAACUUAAAGU